Molecule: ribosomal RNA, 253 nt
Filed under: uncultured bacterium
Lineage: Bacteria
Description: partial 16S ribosomal RNA
Rfam family: Bacterial small subunit ribosomal RNA
Source: RNAcentral
UACGAAGGGGGCUAGCGUUGCUCGGAAUCACUGGGCGUAAAGCGCACGUAGGCGGCUUUCUAAGUCAGGGGUGAAAUCCUGGAGCUCAACUCCAGAACUGCCUUUGAUACUGGGGAGCUCGAGUCCGGAAGAGGUGAGUGGAACUCCGAGUGUAGAGGUGAAAUUCGUAGAUAUUCGGAAGAACACCAGUGGCGAAGGCGGCUCACUGGUCCGGUACUGACGCUGAGGUGCGAAAGCGUGGGGAGCAGACAGG